This 281-nucleotide ribosomal RNA is filed under the name uncultured bacterium. Its description in RNAcentral is "partial 16S ribosomal RNA". It matches the Rfam family "Bacterial small subunit ribosomal RNA", at positions 337 to 619 of the family's 1533-position model. The record is from RNAcentral.
GCCUACGGGGGGCAGCAGUGGGGAAUAUUGCACAAUGGGGGGAACCCUGAUGCAGCGACGCCGCGUGGGUGAAGGAGCACCUCGGUGCGUAAAGCCCUAUCGGCAGGGAAGAAAAGCGAACAGGUUCGCCUGGACGGUACCUGACUAAGAAGCCCCGGCUAACUACGUGCCAGCAGCCGCGGUAAUACGUAGGGGGCAAGCGUUAUCCGGAUUUAUUGGGUUUAAAGGGUGCGCAGGCGGCACGGCAAGCCGGCGGUCAAAUCGCGGGGCUCAACCCCGCC